GGGAUGAAGACGCAGGAGAGGAUAUCCAAGACAACAACGGGACCAAUAUGGCGACUGCAUCUACAAUGGGACGUCCACUGGCUUCCAGACCUUUGAAUUAUCGGAAAGAACCUGAGCCACGGAGAAGACGUGUUCGCUGCUUUUUCAAAGGGAUGACUGCCAUCAUAGCAAGCUGGCACCACCAAACCAACCCAAGUCAUCAGUACCAUCGGGCUAGCACGGAGCAAAUAGGGGAGACUGGGGCUUGUUGUCGCACGGGCUCAGGUCUUCAUGGAGAAACGGUCCAAGGAGAAGCCUAAGAUGGGGGCUUGUGUCUGGACCUCAGAGCCACCGGACCCUGAUCUUCUCCACUUGGGACAGCAAGCCUGACAGGAGCUUGGGAGGCAGGUUAAACACACACACACACACACACAA
RNAcentral lists this long non-coding RNA (414 nucleotides) under Gouania willdenowi (blunt-snouted clingfish). RNAcentral's name for it is "lncRNA (ENSGWIG00000000237.1)". Lineage: Eukaryota; Metazoa; Chordata; Actinopteri; Blenniiformes; Gobiesocidae. The record is from RNAcentral.